CUUCUCACAUAGCGCCUCACAAUAGGUAGCAGCUGCUCACUUGACCUGCUGGAGACAAUUUUGCACACCUUUAGCACAGACAUGUUGCCAUGGAAACACAAUUGCUUACCUGUAGAUGAACUCGAAGUGCUUCGAAGAGAUAACCGGGAACGAAAAAACACAGACCCCUUCCAGACAGAAGCUGGAACAUCGGAACGAUGAUGCGCAUUCCUUGUGCAGCACCUGGCAGUAUUUAUUUGGACAACCAAAGCAACAAAGCUUAAGUGAAGUAGUUUACACUGAAUGCAUCUAACACUCUGCAACACAUUUCUACUGUCAGGUUUUAAAAACAACCAUCAAAAUCUCACCACUGACAUCCGUCUCCCUGGACCCGUUUGUGUCAUUUCAUUUUUUUGUUGCAUCUCAUUGCUCUACGCAAAAUCUCUUUUUUCUGGAUCCAUCGCACAAUUUUGCAUCUAUUUUGAAGACCAUCCUUUCCCUGUAACAACCCAAGAAUUUUUUUUUGGAUUAAGGACAUCUUCCAAGCCUGCUGAGCUGUUCUGAAAUCGCUCUGUUCCCGCGUUUGACAUGAACGGAGGACCUGCAGUCACGUGAUACAGCAGCGCACUGUACAACGUCAUUUCAGGUGCGAAGACUGAAGGAGACCUUUUUGCUGCUACAAAGACAUGGAAACUCGUGGACGGAAGUCAAAGAAGCCUCCAACGAAACAUCUGAUGCAAAGUCAUGUACUUCUGACGUGACUUCAUGCAAAUGAUCUGGUAUUCAGUCACCACAGCAGAGUAAAGCAGCCUCAUCUUCUAGCCAUUCUAGGUCAUCAAGCAUUUCAGGAUCAUCUACAGGUGCUCCAAAAGGAAAAGGUAAGAAGCUUCCUCCAAAAUCUUUACCUUUUGCCUUCAUUCACACGUGAGUAUAAUACACUGAACAAAUGUGUCUUGGUCUUAGUGUUUCAGACCUUUUUAAAUCCAUCAGGGAAUCAUUAAG
Molecule: long non-coding RNA, 981 nt
Organism: Pygocentrus nattereri (red-bellied piranha)
Lineage: Eukaryota; Metazoa; Chordata; Actinopteri; Characiformes; Serrasalmidae
Exons: 4
Source: RefSeq, a predicted model, not a curated record